GCGGAAGUAGUUCAGUGGUAGAACAUCACCUUGCCAAGGUGGGGGUCGCGGGUUCGAACCCCGUCUUCCGCUUCA
Molecule: transfer RNA, 75 nt
Filed under: Listeria monocytogenes
Lineage: Bacteria; Bacillati; Bacillota; Bacilli; Caryophanales; Listeriaceae
Also listed under: 2 other names
Description: tRNA-Gly
Rfam family: tRNA
About the family: Transfer RNA (tRNA) molecules are approximately 80 nucleotides in length. Their secondary structure includes four short double-helical elements and three loops (D, anti-codon, and T loops). Further hydrogen bonds mediate the characteristic L-shaped molecular structure. tRNAs have two regions of fundamental functional importance: the anti-codon, which is responsible for specific mRNA codon recognition, and the 3' end, to which the tRNAs corresponding amino acid is attached (by aminoacyl-tRNA synthetases). tRNAs cope with the degeneracy of the genetic code in two manners: having more than one tRNA (with a specific anti-codon) for a particular amino acid; and 'wobble' base-pairing, i.e. permitting non-standard base-pairing at the 3rd anti-codon position.
Source: RNAcentral